GCUCAGGACGAACGCUGGCGGCGUGCCUAAUACAUGCAAGUCGAGCGGACAGAAGGGAGCUUGCUCCCGGAUGUUAGCGGCGGACGGGUGAGUAACACGUGGGUAACCUGCCUGUAAGACUGGGAUAACUCCGGGAAACCGGAGCUAAUACCGGAUAGUUCCUUGAACCGCAUGGUUCAAGGAUGAAAGACGGUUUCGGCUGUCACUUACAGAUGGACCCGCGGCGCAUUAGCUAGUUGGUGGGGUAAUGGCUCACCAAGGCGACGAUGCGUAGCCGACCUGAGAGGGUGAUCGGCCACACUGGGACUGAGACACGGCCCAGACUCCUACGGGAGGCAGCAGUAGGGAAUCUUCCGCAAUGGACGAAAGUCUGACGGAGCAACGCCGCGUGAGUGAUGAAGGUUUUCGGAUCGUAAAGCUCUGUUGUUAGGGAAGAACAAGUGCGAGAGUAACUGCUCGCACCUUGACGGUACCUAACCAGAAAGCCACGGCUAACUACGUGCCAGCAGCCGCGGUAAUAC
RNAcentral lists this ribosomal RNA (521 nucleotides) under uncultured marine bacterium. Its description in RNAcentral is "bacterial SSU rRNA". It matches the Rfam family "Bacterial small subunit ribosomal RNA", at positions 22 to 526 of the family's 1533-position model. The record is from RNAcentral.